RNAcentral lists this long non-coding RNA (2164 nucleotides) under Salmo salar (Atlantic salmon). RNAcentral describes it as "lncRNA (ENSSSAG00000111061.1)". The record is from RNAcentral. Lineage: Eukaryota; Metazoa; Chordata; Actinopteri; Salmoniformes; Salmonidae.
CCCCUCACGCGCUGCACAUAGCCCAAUAACCCCCUCUUGCGCUGCACAUAGCCCAAUAACCCCUCACGCGCUGCACAUAGCCCAAUAACCCCCUCACGCGCUGCACAUAGCCCAAUAACCCCCUCACGCGCUGCACAUAGCCCAAUAACCCCCUCACGCGCUGCACAUAGCCCAAUAACCCCCUCACGCGCUGCACAUAGCCCAAUAACCCCCUCACGCGCUGCAGUUCCUUUACCACAUGGGAGACGUUGCCGCUCGUAUUGACGGGAUCUGGAAUUGUGAACGCAUCCAAGUUCCACUUUCUGUCAUUAGUGUCGUCACCGUAGUAACAGAAACUUCACUUCCUGUUGCUUGUCAUUGGCUGCACCAUUAGCAUUGUGACUUCAGUUUAUCCACGUUUUCUGACAAUUGUAACAAGAAACUAGAAGUUGAAGAGGGGAUUUAUAGACUGGGUUUAAAUAUGAACGUCACUUUACUGCCCCUAGUGGUAAACAUCUGAGCGGAGUAAUUCAUUGAUUACUUAAUGACGCAAGUCACAUAGCUACACAUCCAGGUGAUCAUCUUGUUUAUUUUUUCACCAUGUGGGGAAAAAAGCCAUGUUUGGUCUUUGCCAACGUGUUCUGCAUUGCAACAAGCAAGUGUAGGCUAGCUUUUCUUGCAUUCCAAGGUAGUUUUCUCUUCAGUAUUUACACACAGAAGUGGCAAUCUCUGUUCCUGUCUUUUAAACGCCUCAGCAGUGUUGUAAUAGAGAAGGUAUUUUGGUCCUCACUAGCCUCAAUCUCUCAUUUUCUGUAUUUGUAUCUGAGAGUCGAAGGCCACAACUCACUAUUGUGUCAUUAGGCAGCGUUUACACGGGCAUGCCAAUUCUUCAUUCUUUUUUCCCCCAGUUAUUGGCAAAGAGCUGAUCUGAUUGGUCAAAAGACCAGUUAGUGAGGAAAAUAUCAGAAUUAGGCUGCCUGUGUGAACACGGCCUUAUACUGUUGCCAUUUCUAUAGGAUCAUGUCCAAUUAUUUAGGCUCGCUGUUCAAUGUCCUACUAGCUUGAGUUCCAUUUAUACAGUAAAGUUGUGCACGUGAACUUGUCUAUUGUGAAUUCUGAUCGCCAGACUCCAUUUUGAUGUCUGUCGUGUGGUAUUAUUUCAGAUACAGAUUCUGGAUGUGCCCCAAUGUCCAUGCUAGCAUACUCCUUUGGUGCAUGCCCAAAAGUUUCAUGCUAAGUGGCAUGGUGGUUUAGUGGUCAAGAAUUUGAGCUGAAUGAUCCUGAAACUCAAUCGGCCUUUGCAAAUGAGUAAUGUGUAAUUUGCUAAUAUCUUUAGCUUUACAUUCUUAAUAGCUGAAGUCAGAGACUUUUCCCCAAGAGGUUGAAAUAGAACGUGUCAGAGAAAACGGGAUUCUCUUAUGUGGAGAUCAAAACAGCGUUCAUUCUAUACAAUGUAUUUCAAUCUGCAACAUUUUAAUUAUUUCAGUCCACAGGUAUCUGAAGUGUUAGACAAGGGAAUCGGGGGACAAAAACAGGUAUUUACACACACUGAAAGGUGUCAGACCAACACUUUGAGUGAAAACAUGCUGUUUUGUUGGUUGGAACUAUGCUAAAUGUGGUCAUUGGACACUUUCUAGUCUCAUCCCAAAUGACUGAUGUAAUAUGUGGGCUGAGAGAUGAACCCACAAUGACCCUGGUGUUGCCAGCAGGAUGAGCUAACUCAACCUCUAGGAUGAAUCCCCCUGAAGUUUCAGUGGUUACUGAGUGUAACCUAUAGGUGUCUUAUGGUAGUGUUACUUUGCCCAGGCCGGUGCAGCAAUACCAAUGUUCUAAUAGUGUUACUCAACUCUCCGGGAGUGUAGUCUCGCAGGCCCUCAAACUAAACUCUGGACCUUAAAACCGGUUCUACUGCAACUUUUCAUUGUUGCCCUCUAAUCAGGGACUGAUUUAGACCUGGGACACCAGGUGGGUGCAACUAAUUCGGGUAGAACAGAAACCCAGCCGGCUCUGGACCUCGUAGGGUAAGAGUUGAGUACCCCCUGCCCUAGGGGGACCUGUGACAGGAGUUGAGCAACACUGCUAGAAUACAUUCCACUUUGAGAAACUAGACAGCAUACCGCCAGACUAGACCCCUUGUCUAGUCACUUUAAGGUUGUUUCAUGAAUAAAGUGGCUUUUGGCUAUUC